GGUCAAGCGAACAAGUGCAUGUGGUGGAUGCCUUGGCGAUCACAGGCGAUGAAGGACGCGGUAGCCUGCGAAAAGCUACGGGGAGCUGGCAAACGAGCUUUGAUCCGUAGAUGUCCGAAUGGGGAAACCCGGCCCUUUUGGGUCAUCCUAGACUGAAUACAUAGGUCUAGUGAAGCGAACGCGGUGAACUGAAACAUCUAAGUAACCGCAGGAAAAGAAAUCAACCGAGAUUCCCAAAGUAGUGGCGAGCGAAAUGGGAUGAGCCUUGCACUCUUUAUUUGUAUUGUUAGCCGAACGCUCUGGAAAGUGCGGCCAUAGCAGGUGAUAGCCCUGUAGGCGAAAACAGUAUGAAAGAACUAGGUGUGCGACAAGUAGGGCGGGACACGUGAAAUCCUGUCUGAAGAUGGGGGGACCAUCCUCCAAGGCUAAAUACUCGUGAUCGACCGAUAGUGAACCAGUACCGUGAGGGAAAGGCGAAAAGAACCCCGGGAGGGGAGUGAAAUAGAUCCUGAAACCGCAUGCAUACAAACAGUCGGAGCCUCGCAAGGGGUGACGGCGUACCUUUUGUAUAAUGGGUCAGCGACUUACGUUCAGUAGCAAGCUUAACCGUAUAGGGCAGGCGUAGCGAAAGCGAGUCCGAAUAGGGCGUUCAGUUGCUGGGCGUAGACCCGAAACCAGGUGAUCUAUCCAUGGCCAGGAUGAAGGUGCGGUAACACGUACUGGAGGUCCGAACCCACUAACGUUGAAAAGUUAGGGGAUGAGCUGUGGAUAGGGGUGAAAGGCUAAACAAACCUGGAAAUAGCUGGUUCUCUCCGAAAACUAUUUAGGUAGUGCCUCGUGUCUCACCUUCGGGGUAGAGCACUGUCAUGGUUGGGGGGUCUAUUGCAGAUUACCCCGCCAUAGCAAACUCCGAAUACCGAAGAGUGCAAUCACGGGAGACAGACAUCGGGUGCUAACGUCCGGUGUCAAGAGGGAAACAACCCAGACCGCCAGCUAAGGUCCCCAAAUAUAGCUAAGUGGGAAACGAAGUGGGAAGGCUAAAACAGUCAGGAGGUUGGCUUAGAAGCAGCCACCCUUUAAAGAAAGCGUAAUAGCUCACUGAUCGAGUCGUCCUGCGCGGAAGAUGUAACGGGGCUAAGCUAUAUACCGAAGCUGCGGAUGCGAGCUUGCUCGCAUGGUAGGAGAGCGUUCCGUAAGCCUGCGAAGGUGCCUUGUAAAGGGUGCUGGAGGUAUCGGAAGUGCGAAUGCUGACAUGAGUAGCGAUAAAGGGGGUGAAAGGCCCCCUCGCCGUAAGCCCAAGGUUUCCUACGCAACGUUCAUCGGCGUAGGGUGAGUCGGCCCCUAAGGCGAGGCAGAAAUGCGUAGCUGAUGGGAAGCAGGUCAAUAUUCCUGCACCAUUGUUAGAUGCGAUGGGGGGACGGAUCGCGGAAGGUUGUCCGGGUGUUGGAAGUCCCGGUCGCUGCAUUGGAGAAGGCGCUUAGGCAAAUCCGGGCGCAGGAUUCAAGGGUGUGGCGCGAGCUCCUUAGGGAGCGAAGCAAUUGGAAGUGGUUCCAAGAAAAGCCUCUAAGCUUCAGUCUAACGAUGACCGUACCGCAAACCGACACAGGUGGGCGAGAUGAGUAUUCUAAGGCGCUUGAGAGAACUCGGGAGAAGGAACUCGGCAAAUUGGUACCGUAACUUCGGGAUAAGGUACGCCCUUGUAGCUUGACUGGCCUGCGCCAGGAGGGUGAAGGGGUUGCAAUAAACUGGUGGCUGCGACUGUUUAAUAAAAACACAGCACUCUGCAAACACGAAAGUGGACGUAUAGGGUGUGACGCCUGCCCGGUGCCGGAAGAUUAAAUGAUGGGGUGCAAGCUCUUGAUUGAAGUCCCGGUAAACGGCGGCCGUAACUAUAACGGUCCUAAGGUAGCGAAAUUCCUUGUCGGGUAAGUUCCGACCUGCACGAAUGGCGUAACGAUGGCCACACUGUCUCCUCCCGAGACUCAGCGAAGUUGAAGUGUUUGUGAUGAUGCAAUCUACCCGCGGCUAGACGGAAAGACCCCAUGAACCUUUACUGUAGCUUUGCAUUGGACUUUGAACCGAUCUGUGUAGGAUAGGUGGGAGGCUAUGAAACCGGAACGCUAGUUUCGGUGGAGCCGUCCUUGAAAUACCACCCUGGUUUGUUUGAGGUUCUAACCUUGGCCCGUGAUCCGGGUCGGGGACAGUGCAUGGUAGGCAGUUUGACUGGGGCGGUCUCCUCCCAAAGCGUAACGGAGGAGUACGAAGGUACGCUAGGUACGGUCGGAAAUCGUGCUGAUAGUGCAAUGGCAUAAGCGUGCUUAACUGCGAGACCGACAAGUCGAGCAGGUGCGAAAGCAGGUCAUAGUGAUCCGGUGGUUCUGUAUGGAAGGGCCAUCGCUCAACGGAUAAAAGGUACUCUGGGGAUAACAGGCUGAUACCGCCCAAGAGUUCAUAUCGACGGCGGUGUUUGGCACCUCGAUGUCGGCUCAUCUCAUCCUGGGGCUGUAGCCGGUCCCAAGGGUAUGGCUGUUCGCCAUUUAAAGAGGUACGUGAGCUGGGUUUAAAACGUCGUGAGACAGUUUGGUCCCUAUCUGCCGUGGGCGUUGGAUAUUUGAAGGGGGCUGCUCCUAGUACGAGAGGACCGGAGUGGACGAACCUCUGGUGUACCGGUUGUCACGCCAGUGGCAUCGCCGGGUAGCUAUGUUCGGAAGAGAUAACCGCUGAAAGCAUCUAAGCGGGAAACUCGCCUUAAGAUGAGAUAUCCCUGGGGACUAGAUCCCCUUGAAGGGUCGUUCGAGACCAGGACGUUGAUAGGUCAGGUGUGUAAGCGCAGUAAUGCGUUCAGCUAACUGAUACUAAUUGCCCGUAAGGCUUGAUCCU
This 2880-nucleotide ribosomal RNA is filed under the name Burkholderia cenocepacia BC7. RNAcentral's name for it is "bacterial LSU rRNA". It matches the Rfam family "Bacterial large subunit ribosomal RNA". The record is from RNAcentral. Lineage: Bacteria; Pseudomonadati; Pseudomonadota; Betaproteobacteria; Burkholderiales; Burkholderiaceae.